CAAGUCUCGCGAAUUACCCUGCGCCUUUAAACACUCGAGUGGACGCCUGCAAUCUUGAGCGCGUAAGGAAAUUCUACGUAUCAGAUCCUUCCCUGGGCCAAGCUAUGUAUUUCUUUUUUUUUGUAAACCAUAUCGAACUGAAUUUCACUAAUUGUUCCCUAGUACGCAUUGCAGGCGUUGCUUGUUAUGAAAAAUAUAGUACAAUAUCAAUGGCGCAUGCAGUUGUGCAGAAGAUGAAUGCACAUACGCAAUCGUGCAUCGUGCAUUGUCCUGUCCUAUGCGCCGCUUUGCCUUUCUUAAGCGAAGUAGCAGGUGGGAAGGAACAGCAUGUGGCAACACUGGUCGCAUAACAGUGCACGUUAGCGCCAUACUCACUGCUAAUAUAAUCGCCUACCAAAGCGAACUGAAAAUUCUGCCCAAGGAGACAAGAAAGACGUUAUACCGAAAAGAUGUACGUGUGAGAACGCAAACAAGUUCUACAGUUUCAAGAGAAAAAAAGUUAAAUGAUCUCUAUAAAAAAGCCAUUCAUAUUACCGAGAUGAACAUUUUUGUAGUAGCUGCUCUUCAACUGGUUGCUGUAACGUCUGCAGCAAAUCUUCAGGAUCUAAUCAACGCCUUGAAUACGAAUGAACGGACCUGGAUAUAUCAGCGCAGUUACGUUGAAUAUAAGGGCAGUGAAUACGUCACAUGCGCAUAUUACCGAAAACUUGAACUAAACCAGACUAAUUACGAGUUCUUCAAGGACUUCAUGUUAUGUUCGCAAGCGCACCAACGCCAUCUUUAUGCUGAAUUGGGUGAUGAUGGCAGAGAUGGACCGUACAUGGGUGUAAGUACCUGGCCAGGAGCCGAGGUGACCUCAUACACGUUGAGGUAUUGGAACGCCACCGAAGCCUGCGCUGUGUACACAUUGGACAAGUACAGUAUCCAUUGGCCAUCAUUUACGUUUUCUGGUCGGAAUACAUCCAUCUGUCACGAUUUGUUGAACAUUUCCUUGUUCUUCGAUCUGAAGCAAACUGUUAACGAAGCAACAAGAGUUCCUAAAUACGACAGAAAGGAUUUGGGUAGUGUUGCGGAGCACAUAUCUUGGUGAAUGGAACAAACAACUGAUGUGCCUCAGUACCACUAUGACUUUGUUGACAAGAGAUGCAUAUGAAUAUGAGUAUUGCUACAGAAAGGAUGAAAUCAGGCAAUGCGAAAAUCAAAGUGCCAUUCUCAGGUCUGACACCAAGCAUCCCCAGAUGGUUGUCAAAGGACAAGGAGGGACUCCUGGCGUAACCUACAGGCUGAAGUACUUUCACACGAAUUAUUGGUGCGCAAUUUUCGGUUUCCGAGCAGACGGAAAGGAAGAAUGUGAAAUGCGUGUUCAAGACCACACUGUGAACGAAACGAGUGGAGCUGUCACGAACGAUUGUGAAAAAGCUUACGACGAGUGCAAAGUCAAAAAAUACAAGUACUACGAUGAUACAUGCAAGACCCGUACCGCUUAGCAAGCGUUAUUUUCAAACCACGCUUUUUUGUUACUGAAUAAAGCGUUUAGUAAUGAUUA
Molecule: non-coding RNA, 1546 nt
Organism: Dermacentor andersoni
Lineage: Eukaryota; Metazoa; Arthropoda; Arachnida; Ixodida; Ixodidae
Source: RefSeq, a predicted model, not a curated record